GUGAUUUUGAUGAAGUUGAGUGGAAAAGUAGGUGUGAGCUUACCAAAGAUUCCUGAGGUGGUGGUGAAGACAUCAAGACCCACAUAGAUCUAGGUUGAAGACAUGAAGAUCGUGUAGAGGGGAAACAGGGGUUAAUGACGAAUGUAGUUAGUUAAGAUUUGUUAAUUUGGAACAUAAAAAUACCAAGGCCAUACUAAAUUGAAGUAUUUUUUAAUGUAUACCACAAUCUAUUAUAUAGAAACAAAAGCCAAAUAUAGUUACAUAACUGUGGGAUAGAGCUUUUUAGUAGUACACGGUGUAUAGACACGUGGAAUUUUUUAAAAAAAAUAUUUUUUCCUAUCCCUGAUGAAUGGAUUUUUUUUUAAGAAAACAAGCAAACGAUUAUCAUUGUAAUAUUCCCUUGUUUUUUCUAAUUCUCACUUGUAGCCAUACUUAUUUCUACACACCUUAUUACAGCUUUUCACUUGAAGAUGCUCUAAAUAUGUGGUCGAUGAGGCCACUAUGGAGAACAAUUCUUUGUUCAAAGAGGAUGUAGAUAUUCUCCUAAAGUGAAAAGGAAGAUCCUAAUAUUCCCCUAAAAGGCCUUGAUAGCAUGUUUUCGUUUUCUUGAGCUACUUUUCUUUUAUGCCUCCACGUAUGCGAACAAAUCUUGCCACUGAAAUUAUAUGGCACACUAGACAUCUAUGCUUAUGUUCUUUACGUACUCCCUCCG
RNAcentral lists this long non-coding RNA (712 nucleotides) under Setaria viridis. Its description in RNAcentral is "long non-coding RNA (SVIR_LNC011251)". Lineage: Eukaryota; Viridiplantae; Streptophyta; Magnoliopsida; Poales; Poaceae. The record is from RNAcentral.